This 437-nucleotide ribosomal RNA is filed under the name uncultured Lachnospiraceae bacterium. RNAcentral describes it as "partial 16S ribosomal RNA". It matches the Rfam family "Bacterial small subunit ribosomal RNA", at positions 341 to 792 of the family's 1533-position model. Lineage: Bacteria; Bacillati; Bacillota; Clostridia; Lachnospirales; Lachnospiraceae. The record is from RNAcentral.
ACGGAAGGCAGCAGUGGGGAAUAUUGCACAAUGGGGGAAACCCUGAUGCAGCGACGCCGCGUGAGUGAAGAAGUAUUUCGGUAUGUAAAGCUCUAUCAGCAGGGACGAAUCAAAUGACGGUACCUGACUAAGAAGCCCCGGCUAACUACGUGCCAGCAGCCGCGGUAAUACGUAGGGGGCAAGCGUUAUCCGGAUUUACUGGGUGUAAAGGGAGCGUAGACGGUCACGCAAGUCUGAUGUGAAAACCCAGGGCUUAACCUUGGGCCUGCAUUGGAAACUGCGAGACUAGAGUGCAGGAGAGGUAAGUGGAAUUCCUAGUGUAGCGGUGAAAUGCGUAGAUAUUAGGAGGAACACCAGUGGCGAAGGCGGCUUACUGGACUGUAACUGACGUUGAGGCUCGAAAGCGUGGGGAGCAAACAGGAUUAGAUACCCUGGUA